This 1422-nucleotide long non-coding RNA is filed under the name Felis catus (domestic cat). RNAcentral's name for it is "lncRNA (ENSFCAG00000043769.2)". The record is from RNAcentral. Lineage: Eukaryota; Metazoa; Chordata; Mammalia; Carnivora; Felidae.
CUAGUACUCUGCAAGGAGAAAAGAAACUUGGCAGAUGUAUUAGUGGUUCCUGAUUUAUUAGAUCAUGUUGUUCUCGCUUUAGGAAACAUGGAGUUGGAACCUAAGCCAAUGUGACCCAGAAUUUCAUUCUGUCAAAUGCAGGGAGCACUAUUACAGUGAUGGUUCAUAGCACUGGGGACAGCUGGAGAAGGUCAAGGCCAGGUGAUCAGGAGGCAUGAAUGCCGUAAAGGUGGUACCAACAUAGGGAGAAAGGCUGGUCAUUCUAGGUUUGAAAGGAAGCAACUGGAAACUUCUUUUACUUCAGAAUCCUAUCAUAGAUUGGCCUUGAACUCUGGACGAAAGAUGUCUGAGGUAUGCUCACAAAUGGGGAGAGAAGGAAGUAUUAUGUAAGAUUAUCAUAGUUUGCUUCUGCUAGGUGGGUUGCAGAGAGAAAAGCAACAAUACCUCUCAGAGGUGACAUUGUUUUUCUUGUUUCUCAUCGUUAAUUAAUAUUUUACUUUAAAGGACUCUAAGGUGAGUCCUCUGUUAGGAGUGGUAUUUAAUAUUUAUUUUAUCAACACCUGCCAGGUGCAUCACAGUCAAUCUGCCCUCUGUCAACUACAAUAUUACACAAGGUUGCAGAUGUAAAUGUCAGUGGUCAAAAGGAAAAAUAGUCCUGGGUUUAAACUGGCAGCUCAAGAAUGGAGAAAAAAUGUGGAAAAUACAUAGUAAACGUGGAAUCCUCUAGAAACCAGCCUGUGAUUAGUCCUGGUAGCCACACUCAAGUCCAAGUGAUCAGAAACUCACAAUUCAGUAUGUCAGUUUCCAUCAUCAGCUGAUGUCACUGAUGAUGCUGGCACAUAUGUUGCUCCUACCUUUGUCAACCUGGGGACUCCUGGACGCUCACAAUAUCCAAAGAGAGACUUUCAUCAUGGACAGGCUUCCUUUAGCCAACGCCUGGACCCUGUGGUGCAAGGUGACAUUUGGUGACUGCUGGUGCCCUUAUUCCCUGGACAUCCGAACUGGGGCUUCCUUCCUAAAACUGAAGCCCGCAUUUCCUAGCAGUGAGACCUACUCCGUUCUUUUCAAAGAUGUGACUUGUGUUGUGCCUCUCUCCUGCUGUCCCGAGCUCAGUUACGGAAGGGAAUGACAGCGAGCUAAUCACAGAUUUUAAAAUUGAGCAAGUGUCAGGAAUUGCACCAAGUAUAUUACAUACCUUAUUAUCUUCUUUAAUCCUUACACUUAUCCUUGGAUAUAGGUAUACCUCUUCUUGUGAAGAAAUAGAGGCUUAGGACAUUAAGGAAAUUGCCAGGUAUUAGCCUGUUUAUAAGAGUCACAGAUGAAAGUCAACCAGGAAUCUUUAGAAUCCAAGGCUCUUAAUCACUGUGCUACACUGCUUCUGAUAAAAAUAAAAUAAUUAAAAAAAAAUUGAAAUCUCUUUUU